This 253-nucleotide ribosomal RNA is filed under the name uncultured bacterium. RNAcentral's name for it is "partial 16S ribosomal RNA". It matches the Rfam family "Bacterial small subunit ribosomal RNA", at positions 524 to 776 of the family's 1533-position model. The record is from RNAcentral.
UACGUAGGGGGCAAGCGUUGUCCGGAAUCAUUGGGCGUAAAGAGCGUGUAGGCGGCCCGGUAAGUCUGUUGUGAAAGUCCAGGGCUCAACCCUGGAAUGCCGAUGGAUACUGCCGGGCUAGAGUCCGGAAGAGGCGAGUGGAACUCCUGGUGUAGCGGUGGAAUGCGCAGAUAUCAGGAAGAACACCAACGGCGAAGGCAGCUCGCUGGGACGGUACUGACGCUGAGACGCGAAAGCGUGGGGAGCGAACAGG